UUCCGGUUGAUCCCGCCGGAGGCCAUUGCUAUCGGUGUCCGAUUUAGCCAUGCGAGUCGCACGUUCAACGUGGCGAACGGCUCAGUAACACGUGGUCAAACUACCCUACGGACCGUGAUAACCUCGGGAAACUGAGGCUAAUAACGGAUGUCGCUCCCGAGCUGGGAUGCUGGGAGCGAUAAAGCUCCGGCGCCGUAGGAUGUGACUGCGGCCGAUUAGGUAGACGGUGGGGUAAUGGCCCACCGUGCCGAUAAUCGGUACGGGUUGUGAGAGCAAGAACCCGGAGACGGACUCUGAGACAAGAGUCCGGGCCCUACGGGGCGCAGCAGGCGCGAAACCUUUACACUGCACGCAAGUGCGAUAGGGGGACACCGAGUGCGAGGGCAUAGAGCCCUCGCUUUUGUGCAUCGUAAGGUGGUACAUGAAUAAGGGCUGGGCAAGACCGGUGCCAGCCGCCGCGGUAACACCGGCAGCCCGAGUGAUGGCCGCUUUUAUUGGGCCUAAAGCGUCCGUAGCCGGCCGUUCAGGUCCGUCGGGAAAUCCACUGGCUCAACCAGUGGGCGUCCGGCGGAAACCGAUCGGCUUGGGACAGGGAGACCAGAGGGGUACGUCCGGGGUAGGAGUGAAAUCCUGUAAUCCUGGACGGACCACCGGUGGCGAAAGCGCCUCUGGAGAACUGAUCCGACGGUGAGGGACGAAAGCUGGGGUCUCGAACCGGAUUAGAUACCCGGGUAGUCCCAGCUGUAAACAAUGCUCGCUAGGUGUGUCGCANGCUACGAGCCUGCGAUGUGCCGUAGGGAAGCCGAGAAGCGAGCCGCCUGGGUAGUACGUCCGCAAGGAUGAAACUUAAAGGAAUUGGCGGGGG
RNAcentral lists this ribosomal RNA (865 nucleotides) under uncultured archaeon. Its description in RNAcentral is "bacterial SSU rRNA". It matches the Rfam family "Archaeal small subunit ribosomal RNA", at positions 1 to 874 of the family's 1478-position model. The record is from RNAcentral.